Molecule: ribosomal RNA, 200 nt
Filed under: uncultured bacterium
Lineage: Bacteria
Description: partial 16S ribosomal RNA
Rfam family: Bacterial small subunit ribosomal RNA
Source: RNAcentral
AACGAACGCUGGCGGCAGGCCUAACACAUGCAAGUCGAGCGGGGUUUUCGGACCUAGCGGCGGACGGGUGAGUAAUGCGUAGGAAGCUGCCCGAUAGAGGGGGAUACCAGUUGGAAACGACUGUUAAUACCGCAUAAUGUCUACGGACCAAAGUGUGGGACCUUCGGGCCACAUGCUAUCGGAUGCGCCUACGUGGGAUU